Molecule: unclassified non-coding RNA, 277 nt
Filed under: Hevea brasiliensis (rubber tree)
Lineage: Eukaryota; Viridiplantae; Streptophyta; Magnoliopsida; Malpighiales; Euphorbiaceae
Source: RNAcentral
AGUAUAAUCCAUAAAGCCACAAACUUUAAACAUUGACUAUUUUGACUUGUUCAAAUAUACCUUUCUCUCUAACAAUUGCUUGAAUACUCACGGCGAUAAUCACGAUAACCGUGACUAUCACUACCCGCAACUUUCCCUUUCUCAUAGUUACUCUCUUCUUCCUGAUCUUGAUUUAACCAUCCAAUAGUGCCAGUAAGCUGGCUCCCAACGUUAAUCUUGGCUACCUCGAAGAAUAAUCUACGGGAGCAGACGGCCCACUCGGCACACAAUAAUUAGA